RNAcentral lists this ribosomal RNA (253 nucleotides) under uncultured bacterium. RNAcentral describes it as "partial 16S ribosomal RNA". It matches the Rfam family "Bacterial small subunit ribosomal RNA", at positions 524 to 776 of the family's 1533-position model. The record is from RNAcentral.
UACGGGGGGGGCAAGCGUUGUUCGGAAUUACUGGGCGUAAAGGGCUCGUAGGCGGCCAACUAAGUCAGACGUGAAAUCCCCAGGCUUAACCUGGGAACUGCGUCUGAUACUGGAUGGCUUGAAUUCGGGAGAGGGAUGCAGAAUUCCAGGUGUAGCGGUGAAAUGCGUAGAUAUCUGGAGGAAUACCGGUGGCGAAGGCGGCAUCCUGGACCGACAUUGACGCUGAGGAGCGAAAGCGUGGGGAGCAAACAGG